Hemicordylus capensis (graceful crag lizard) is the source of this 307-nucleotide long non-coding RNA. RefSeq lists it as uncharacterized. The transcript is spliced from 3 exons. The record is from RefSeq and is a predicted model, not a curated record. NCBI's taxonomy places the organism in Eukaryota, Metazoa, Chordata, Lepidosauria, Squamata, Cordylidae.
AUCUGGAGGCCUGCAGGUUGGGGAAGCCUGCAUGAGAAAUAGAACAACAUUGAAAUCUUAGACGUAUCAGUCUUUCUCCUACAACUUUCAAAAUCAAUGUAACCUAGAUGGCUUUUUCGACAUUGCUGACAUAAUUAAGGAAAGACCUACAAGCUUGGGAUGGCCCAUGAGGAGUAAAAGUUUCAUCUGUUGGAUUUCUGUCUGUCAUGAGAAGAACUACCCAGUUGUGUAUAACUGUGUAUAGACAUACCUGAAAAAAGGAACCAGCAUGGAGACUUUUUGCUUCAGUGCAAGAUCUGCUUUCUCC